GACGAACGCUGGCGGCGUGCUUAACACAUGCAAGUCGAACGGAAAGGCCCUGCUUGCAGGGUACUCGAGUGGCGAACGGGUGAGUAACACGUGGGUGAUCUGCCCUGCACUUCGGGAUAAGCCUGGGAAACUGGGUCUAAUACCGGAUAGGAGCCAUUUUUAGUGUGAUGGUUGGAAAGUUUUUUCGGUGUAGGAUGAGCUCGCGGCCUAUCAGCUUGUUGGUGGGGUAAUGGCCUACCAAGGCGGCGACGGGUAGCCGGCCUGGGAGGGUGGACGGCCACAUUGGGACUGAGAUACGGCCCAGACUCCUACGGGAGGCAGCAGUGGGGAAUAUUGCACAAUGGGCGGAAGCCUGAUGCAGCGACGCCGCGUGGGGGAUGACGGCCUUCGGGUUGUAAACUCCUUUCGCUAGGGACGAAGCUUUUUGUGACGGUACCUAGAUAAGAAGCACCGGCUAACUACGUG
This 465-nucleotide ribosomal RNA is filed under the name uncultured bacterium. RNAcentral describes it as "partial 16S ribosomal RNA". It matches the Rfam family "Bacterial small subunit ribosomal RNA", at positions 28 to 507 of the family's 1533-position model. The record is from RNAcentral.